Molecule: long non-coding RNA, 960 nt
Filed under: Sus scrofa (pig)
Lineage: Eukaryota; Metazoa; Chordata; Mammalia; Artiodactyla; Suidae
Description: lncRNA (ENSSSCG00070012603.1)
Source: RNAcentral
GGUGCUGCCAUGAGCUAUGGUGUAGGUCGAAGAGACAGCUCAGACCCUGCAUUGCUGUGGCUGUGGUGUAGGCCGGCAGCUAUAGCUCUGAUUUAACUCCUAGCCUGGGAACCAUGGGUGUAGCCCUAAAAAGACAAAAAAAAAAGUGAGCGUGUUGACUGCCCCCCGCCCCCCUGCGCGCCCCAGCGUGGGAUCCAGAGGAGGAAGUGAUUGCGUCUGUUCGGGCUGAGCCAGAGGGGCUUUGUCUCUUAGUCCCCUCCCUCCAGGCACCUGACACCAGAACUCACGUCCCCCCAUGUUUGUGGCAGCACAUGCUUGGCCUCCAGGCUCCUGGAGAAAUGCGGGGAGUCUCCAGGUUCGCUUUGGUGCCCCUGUGCAUGACCGGGAAGUAGGGUGCUGCCCCCAUGGGCUCUCCCGCUGUUAAAUGCCCUAAGCUGAGCCCAAGCACAGACCCUGGACCUGGAGCCAAAGGGCCAGUGUCGCUGUUCCGGCCAAAUAAUCGCCUCUAGCUAUUUUUAUCUGGAGAGAAGGCACCUGAUAUUUGCAAACAAAACCAGCUACACGCUGAAUGGGGGAAAGUGCUUGGCCAGAUCGCUUGGCCUGAUCGAAUUUCUUAGGACUUACGCAGAAAGCUUCAGCUUCUCCUUAAGCCCAGGGCCAAGGACAAAGACGAGUGCUGGGCCAGGCCCCAGGAUGCAGGGGGAGCCAAGAGACAGGCCCACAGAUGCUCAGAGCUGCCAUCUGGACCUGCGUUUCCCCCCGUGUGAAACAUGUUCCACCUGAUUUCAAGUAACCUAACGAGUUCAACCAGUCCCAGCAUCAAUUAUCAAAGCAUCCAAGCCUGCUCCUUUAUCGGAGGGACCACCUUUGGCAGGUUCUAAGCUUAUCUCCAUGCUGGCUCUCUGCUGGGCUCAUGGCUCUGGCCCCACAUACAUGGGCCGGAUGUAUUUGUGGCUCUUU